CCAAGAGGGUUUAAGAAUGCAAGG
RNAcentral lists this non-coding RNA (24 nucleotides) under Cricetulus griseus (Chinese hamster). Lineage: Eukaryota; Metazoa; Chordata; Mammalia; Rodentia; Cricetidae. The record is from RNAcentral.